GGACUACUGGGGUAUCUAAUCCUGUUUGCUACCCACGCUUUCGCGCCUCAGCGUCAGUUACAGUCCAGGUGGUCGCCUUCGCCACUGAUGUUCCUUCCGAUCUCUACGCAUUUCACCGCUACACCGGAAAUUCCACCACCCUCUACUGUACUCCAGCUAAUCAGUCUAAGAUGCAAUUCCUAGGUUAAGCCCAGGGAUUUCACAUCUCACUUGUCUAACCGCCUACGCGCCCUUUACGCCCAGUAACUCCGAUUAACGCUCGCACCCUCUGUAUUACCGCGGCUGCUGGCAC
RNAcentral lists this ribosomal RNA (292 nucleotides) under uncultured bacterium. Its description in RNAcentral is "partial 16S ribosomal RNA". The record is from RNAcentral.